RNAcentral lists this ribosomal RNA (232 nucleotides) under uncultured bacterium. Its description in RNAcentral is "partial 16S ribosomal RNA". It matches the Rfam family "Bacterial small subunit ribosomal RNA", at positions 28 to 262 of the family's 1533-position model. The record is from RNAcentral.
GACGAACGCUGGCGGCGUGCUUAACACAUGCAAGUCGAGCGGUAAGGCUCCUUCGGGAGUACACGAGCGGCGAACGGGUGAGUAACACGUGAGCAAUCUGCCCUUCACAUGGGAAUAACUUCGGGAAACCGAAGCUAAUACCGAAUACGACCACCGAUGGCAUCUUCUGGUGGUGGAAAGUUCCGCGGUGAAGGAUGAGCUCGCGGCCUAUCAGCUUGUUGGUGAGGUAAAU